This 1285-nucleotide long non-coding RNA is filed under the name Anolis carolinensis (green anole). Its description in RNAcentral is "lncRNA (ENSACAG00000036922.1)". The record is from RNAcentral. Lineage: Eukaryota; Metazoa; Chordata; Lepidosauria; Squamata; Anolidae.
UGUAGUCCAAGCUCUGAGAAUGAAUCCAGAGAACAUAACAGCCGUUUAUUCCCAGCUGUUACCUCCUUCAUCCAGCCCUGAAGUUGUGUGCUUAUUAUGUCUACAUUAGCAGAUGCUAGUAUUUGCCUUCAUACUGUUAAAAGCUUCGGUGGCUGAUGCAUGCAAAUCAAGGUGCAUUCAAAACCAAGUCUGACCUUUUUAGCUUCUGGUCAUUGGCCACCAUUGCUUCUACAUUGCAGGGAUACAGAGGCUACUCUGUUGUUGAGGAAAGUCUGCUCUCCUUGUCUUAGAGAUGAAUUUUAAAACUUCAAGGCUGCAUUUCAGAGGAAGGAACUGGAAAAACCACUCUAAGGACACAUGGUCAACAGAUGAUCUGAAGACACAUACACAAACAUGGAAGGUGAAGCAUCAAUUUCUUUAUCAAACAAGAAUGUUUAGAAAAUGGCAAAAGAAAAUAGCUUCAGACAGGCUUAAGUACCAUACCGCCAUACCUACAAUUCUGUAGAACAGAUUGCAAUUUCAAUUUUUGUAUUCCUUGGUUUUACUUUUUUUUUAAUGACAUUAAAAAGUUGUCCAGAAAAGGUGUUAGAUCAAUGAAGAGAUAACCAUUUCAGAAAGGAAAUAUACCUAAAUGUUAUUGUAACCCUCUUCCAGGCAGAUGGGACAUUUGAAUUCUCCAUAUUAUUGCAGUUCAUACAGAACUACAUUUUACCACAUUGUGGCCCAAAGAGUCGAGUCUCAUCAUUUUUGGUAACUGAGGUCCCAUAUAUCAAAUGUCUAUUGCCUACACUGCUUCCCCACCCCUUAAACAAAACAAAAAACCUGGCAAGCUACUCAGAAUAUUCUACUCCAUGUGAUAUUGUGGCAUGACCUUGAUUCUAUAACUCAUGGAUAUCUUUAUAGCCACAAUCUUCUGGAAGUCUUAUUAGGCCAGAAAAAAAUCAAACUUAAAACACUCUGUCUGGAUGAGAAUUAAAUAUCUUUUCUAUUACUUCUGAAAGACAAUGUAUUUUCUUUAGCUACUUGUGUUCCCUGACCUAACUACUUAAAUUACUUUGUGUGCCCCCUUAGGUUAAAAAUGUGGGUCUAGAACUACUAAAAUUUGCGUCAAGUCCAUGUAAGAAAGCAAACUGCAAAGCGAAUGAAUGCAAGUCUAAAUUGUAUCACAUAAUGCCAUUAUUUCUUACAUAAAAUCAAGAGGGAGCCAACUGGACAAACAAAAGCUUUCAGAAAGGGAGAGCCUAGCUUGUCUACUUAGUACAGCAUAUGGCACUGUGAACAUUAU